Teleopsis dalmanni is the source of this 677-nucleotide long non-coding RNA. RefSeq lists it as uncharacterized. The transcript is spliced from 3 exons. Lineage: Eukaryota; Metazoa; Arthropoda; Insecta; Diptera; Diopsidae. The record is from RefSeq and is a predicted model, not a curated record.
CUCCACCCCACCACUGCAUUUCGGGAUACAUAUAUAAAAGAAACUUAAUACAAUAAUAUGGAUGCAGCUGUAUUUUUUACUAUACGGCGAAGUAAGUUCUGCAAAAAUUAAUUGGAUGCUACAAAUACUGAAAAGACAACGGUCCGUCAAAUUUCUGUACUUAACAUAUAAAUUAUUGGUAUGAUGUGUUUCAAGAGAAUUUGGAAUUUACACUGAGUGUUGUGUGAGAUUUAUGUUAAAUGAAAAAUGUAAAAUGUUAAUGUUAAAUGUAAAUGUUAAAUAAGAUUCACAAGUAAAUCUUAAUGAACGAAACGGGAGCAUUGAAUCCUGAAACCCCAAGAAAUCAGAAAUCGUACAAUCCUGUAAUAAUGGACUAAUAUUACUAACUAGUACAACUGAAAAUUAUAAUAUAAAAUAAAAUAUACCUUAUAUAAUAAAUACUUUCGCAAUUCACAACGGAAAGGAUUUAUAUAAUACCAUUUCAUUUUGAAUUUGAAAUAUUCAAACAUCAUCAGUUUGAGUACUGUUUCAAUUAAUAAGUUUAUAUAAUAUUUGUUAGAAUUAAUUGUUGCUUUUGAACUUUUAACCAUAACCAUUAUGGUAAUUCAAUCAACCAUCAUGUAUCAAUUUUGGGUGUGUGAGCCAUAAAAUAGUACUUCCUGUGAGUGUGGAAACGA